GUUGAUUUACUGAUGGUGCUGUACAUCCAAACCGGGUGAAAUCCUGGCCCCGCGGAACUUGGUUCUUUGUUUACUAAGAGAAGAAGAUUAAAGUGCUGUAAUGAAAGGAUUCUUACCGGUUUCCCAGAGUAAGUGCUUCCUGAGCCAGAGCCACCCUAUGAAAUAAUUAUGAACCAUUUAAUUUUGUCAUACAAGGCUGCAGUGAACAGCACCCAAAGAGCACACAGCAAUCUUGAAAAUGCCCUGGAUAUUAGUGGGUUGUCUGCCUCCAGAAGGAUAUGAGCCCUGUAAGAAGUCAAUCAAAGUUGUAUUAAUUGAAUGAAAAAUCUUCUAUCACUGUCUUGAGAUAAUUUCUGCAGUACUUGGGACAAGCUUAUUUGGGUGUUCUUACAACAAAAAAAGAUAAAUGGGCUGCCUUGAAUUUAUACUCUGUUCUACACACCACACCAAUGGCAAUUUGAAUCAAGAGAGCAGUGUUAUGAAAUACAGCCUGGCAACUUUAGUAUGUUCAAAGGAAUAUUUUACAUAGAGCAGUAACUCAUUGUAACCAAAUAUUUUAUUCACCUUACUGAAAAGACUUCUACCUGUAUUACCUCCACUGUUUAAAUUUAAUAAAAUGGCCAAAUUAAUCUGUCAGCAUCAAGUAACUGGCCUGUCUAG
Oenanthe melanoleuca is the source of this 660-nucleotide long non-coding RNA. RefSeq lists it as uncharacterized. NCBI's taxonomy places the organism in Eukaryota, Metazoa, Chordata, Aves, Passeriformes, Muscicapidae. The record is from RefSeq and is a predicted model, not a curated record. The transcript has 3 exons.